This 412-nucleotide ribosomal RNA is filed under the name uncultured Rhodoplanes sp. Its description in RNAcentral is "bacterial SSU rRNA". It matches the Rfam family "Bacterial small subunit ribosomal RNA", at positions 258 to 688 of the family's 1533-position model. Lineage: Bacteria; Pseudomonadati; Pseudomonadota; Alphaproteobacteria; Hyphomicrobiales; Nitrobacteraceae. The record is from RNAcentral.
UAACGGCUCACCAAGGCGACGAUCAGUAGCUGGUCUGAGAGGAUGAUCAGCCUCACUGGGACUGAGACACGGCCCAUACUCCUACGGGAGGCAGCAGUGGGGAAUAUUGGACAAUGGGCGCAAGCCUGAUCCAGCCAUGCCGCGUGGGUGAUGAAGGCCCUAGGGUUGUAAAGCCCUUUCGGCGGAGAAGAUAAUGACGGCACCCGCAGAAGAAGCCCCGGCUAACUUCCUGCCAGCAGCCGCGGUAAUACGAAGGGGGCUAGCGUUGCUCGGAAUCACUGGGCGUAAAGCGCACGUCGGCGGCUUUUUAGUCAGGGGUGAAAUCCUGGAGCUCAACUCCAGAACUGCCUUUGAUACUGGCGACCUUGACUCCAGGAGAGGUGAGUGGAACUGCGAGUGUAGAGGUGAAAUU